This 301-nucleotide ribosomal RNA is filed under the name uncultured bacterium. RNAcentral's name for it is "partial 16S ribosomal RNA". It matches the Rfam family "Bacterial small subunit ribosomal RNA", at positions 509 to 807 of the family's 1533-position model. The record is from RNAcentral.
CAGCAGCCGCGGGAAUACGAAGGGGGCUAGCGUUGCUCGGAAUGACUGGGCGUAAAGGGCGCGUAGGCUGCUUUGUAAGUCAGAGGUGAAAGCCCGGCGCUCAACCCCGGAUGUGCCUUUGAGACUGCAGAGCUAGAACGUCGGAGAGGUGAGUGGAAUUCCGAGUGUAGAGGUGAAAUUCGUAGAUAUUCGGAAGAACACCAGUGGCGAAGGCGGCUCACUGGACGACUGUUGACGCUGAGGUGCGAAAGCGUGGGGAGCAAACAGGAUUAGAUACCCGAGUAGUCCCUGUCUCUUAUAC